CAGCCGCCGCGGGAAUACGUAGGGUGCAAGCGUUAAUCGGAAUUACUGGGCGUAAAGCGUGCGCAGGCGGUUGGUUAAGACAGAUGUGAAAUCCCCGGGCUCAACCGGGGAACUGCAUUUGUGACUGGCAAGCUAGAGUAUGGCAGAGGGGGGUGGAAUUCCGCGUGUAGCAGUGAAAUGCGUAGAGAUGUGGAGGAAUACCGAUGGCGAAGGCAGCCCCCUGGGCCAAUACUGACGCUCAUGCACGAAAGCGUGGGGAGCAAACAGGAUUAGAUACCCCUGUAGUCCCUGUCUCUUAUAC
Molecule: ribosomal RNA, 301 nt
Filed under: uncultured bacterium
Lineage: Bacteria
Description: partial 16S ribosomal RNA
Rfam family: Bacterial small subunit ribosomal RNA
Source: RNAcentral